RNAcentral lists this ribosomal RNA (467 nucleotides) under uncultured bacterium. RNAcentral's name for it is "partial 16S ribosomal RNA". It matches the Rfam family "Bacterial small subunit ribosomal RNA", at positions 29 to 507 of the family's 1533-position model. The record is from RNAcentral.
ACGAACGCUGGCGGCGUGCUUCACACAUGCAAGUCGAACGGAAAGGCCCUGCUUUUGUGGGGUGCUCGAGUGGCGAACGGGUGAGUAACACGUGAGUAACCUGCCCUUGACUUUGGGAUAACUUCAGGAAACUGGGGCUAAUACCGGAUAGGAGCUCCUGCUGCAUGGUGGGGGUUGGAAAGUUUCGGUGGUUGGGGAUGGACUCGCGGCUUAUCAGCUUGUUGGUGGGGUAGUGGCUUACCAAGGCUUUGACGGGUAGCCGGCCUGAGAGGGUGACCGGCCACAUUGGGACUGAGAUACGGCCCAGACUCCUACGGGAGGCAGCAGUGGGGAAUAUUGCACAAUGGGCGGAAGCCUGAUGCAGCAACGCCGCGUGCGGGAUGACGGCCUUCGGGUUGUAAACCGCUUUCGCCUGUGACGAAGCGUGAGUGACGGUAAUGGGUAAAGAAGCACCGGCUAACUACGUG